CCAGACUCCUACGGGAGGCAGCAGUGGGGAAUAUUGCACAAUGGGGGAAACCCUGAUGCAGCGACGCCGCGUGAGUGAAGAAGUAAUUCGUUAUGUAAAGCUCUAUCAGCAGGGAAGAAAAUGACGGUACCUGAGUAAGAGGCCCCGGCUAACUACGUGCCAGCAGCCGCGGUAAUACGUAGGGGGCAAGCGUUAUCCGGAUUUACUGGGUGUAAAGGGAGCGUAGACGGCAGUGCAAGUCUGGAGUGAAAGGCGGGGGCUCAACCCCCGGACUGCUCUGGAAACUGUACGGCUGGAGUGCAGGAGAGGUAAGUGGAAUUCCUAGUGUAGCGGUGAAAUGCGUAGAUAUUAGGAGGAACACCAGUGGCGAAGGCGGAUUGCUGGACUGUAACUGACGCUGAGGCACGAAAGUGUGGGGAGCAAACAGGAUUAGAUACCCUUGUAGG
This 446-nucleotide ribosomal RNA is filed under the name uncultured bacterium. Its description in RNAcentral is "bacterial SSU rRNA". It matches the Rfam family "Bacterial small subunit ribosomal RNA", at positions 331 to 794 of the family's 1533-position model. The record is from RNAcentral.